UGAGCAAUCUGCCCUUCUCAUCGGAAUAAGCGUUGGAAACGACGUCUAAUGCCGAAUACGACCUCCUUUCGCAUGAUCGGAGGUGGAAAGCUCCGGCGGAGAAGGAUGAGCUCGCGGCCUAUCAGCUAGUUGGUGUGGGUAACGCCCACCAAGGCGACGACGGGUAGCCGGCCUGAGAGGGUGACCGGCCACACUGGGACUGAGACACGGCCCAGACUCCUACGGGAGCAGCAGG
RNAcentral lists this ribosomal RNA (235 nucleotides) under uncultured bacterium. RNAcentral's name for it is "partial 16S ribosomal RNA". It matches the Rfam family "Bacterial small subunit ribosomal RNA", at positions 118 to 354 of the family's 1533-position model. The record is from RNAcentral.